This 483-nucleotide ribosomal RNA is filed under the name uncultured bacterium. RNAcentral describes it as "bacterial SSU rRNA". It matches the Rfam family "Bacterial small subunit ribosomal RNA", at positions 30 to 507 of the family's 1533-position model. The record is from RNAcentral.
UUGAACGCUGGCGGCAUGCCUUACACAUGCAAGUCAACGGCAGCACGGGAGCAAUCCUGGUGGCGAGUGGCGAACGGGUGAGUAAUAGUAUCGGAACGUGCCCGGUCGUGGGGGAUAACGUAGCGAAAGCUACGCUAAUACCGCAUACGAUCUACGGAUGAAAGCGGGGGAUCGCAAGACCUCGCGCGAUUGGAGCGGCCGAUAUCAGAUUAGGUAGUUGGUGAGGUAAAGGCUCACCAAGCCGACGAUCUGUAGCUGGUCUGAGAGGACGACCAGCCACACUGGGACUGAGACACGGCCCAGACUCCUACGGGAGGCAGCAGUGGGGAGUUUUGGACAAUGGGCGCAAGCCUGAUCCAGCAAUGCCGCGUGCAGGAUGAAGGCCUUCGGGUUGUAAACUGCUUUUGUACGGAACGAAACGGUGAGCUCUAAUACAGUUUGCUAAUGACGGUACCGUAAGAAUAAGCACCGGCUAACUACGUG